UGUAUGUUACAAGAAGGAAAUAAAUGGAAAGAAGACAAAUAGUACUCGUUGAAUUUUUAUCUUUUUUUAAGUUUGCUGAUUUUUCAGGAAGACUAAACUAAUUGCUUUCGAACAGCUUGUAUUUUUUUUUAUAUAAAAAGAGAUUAAGUCAUGAAAAUGGCCAUGUUCGUGAGGUCACUGCGGCUGCGACACCGCGGCCUGCAACCAGCAACUAGUCUUAGAUCGCAUUUUGUAUUCAUUUUACUGUCACUUGACUGGUCGCUUGAUCAGUCAAAAGUCUUAUUUCAUAUAGUUAAAAAAUUAGCGACUAAAUAUAAAAUUUUCAAUGACCUGCAUCUAGUCGCGCAAGAUUCUUCGACAAUCAAACAAACAAACAUUUGGUAACAGGUCGCAGUUGGCCAAUAUAUUUAUAUUCUAGAAAUGAACUAAAAUAAUCCAAAAAUAAAUAAUACCAACGAGUAAAAGGAAAACCCAUGGAUCGUGUUUGACACGCAUGACAAUUGUUAGGAUAAAACAAUAUGAGGUUCUUAGUUCUUCGUGAUACAGCAAAAAUAGAAAAUAAGAUAAUUAUGGAGAUCAAAUGCCGUUUUUUUAUUAAUCUUAAGAGCAUGAGUACAACUUAUUAGUCUAUAAACCCUUUGUUACAUGUCAGCUUCUUAGUCGAAAGUGUUUCAGUCUUCUAAGAUUUUAGAGUCCUUUAUAUAGGUAGCUUUGGGCGAGAUCUCUGUUAGAUUUGACUAUAUCCUAAGAUAUGAACUAUCUUUCUGUAUCCAGAAGUUUUCAUUUUACCCCAUAGGCAAGAAAAAUGCACUAUCCAGAGGCCGAAAGCUAGAAAUCCGGAGACAGAAGGUCCGCGUCCUUCUUUACCAAGGAGGAUUUGCUCUGGGCUUAAUUAUCUCCAAAAUUCUGACCCUUAUUUUCCGAGUUAAUGUUUGAAGUCGGAAAAUAACUUGUACUUAUAUGAUGACCUGAAUAGUACCUUCGCAACAAGUUCUUUAUGCCUUAGAGUUGUUUAGGAGUAUAUUUUUCUAAGUGUCAGAGCACUUGUAAUCGAUGUUAAAGGAAUAAGAAAAUAGUUUUAUCUAAGUAUUGAAUUUGAAUGUCUUUUGUUAACUAAAAUGAUAUUGGCAUAGACCAAGAGACGAUAAACUUAUCAUGGAACGAUGGAAGUCUAAUUAAGGGAAUAACGGGCCACAAAGCCAAUUAAGAAAGUUUGGCCGUUGGACAAUGUGAGUUCCAAGUAAGACAAGUUUGACUAAGUUAUCGCAAUGGGGAUUAUACAACAUGAAGUUCAGUUAUGUAGGAGUCAAAUAAGGAAAGAAUCUUAGAGACAGAGUCGAAACAUUUAUGGUAGGAUUUGACCAUGACAGAUAAGGAAACAACAUUGAUACUUGAUAGCCUGUCUUGGUGAGGAAGUAUACAGAACGUUAUAAAAAGGAUGUUCAACUCUCAUUUCUCUGACAACUCAGAAAACGAGUCCGAGAGAGAAGUUAGAGAGGAGAAACGAGUCAGUAGCGAGAGAGAAGUUCAAGAAGAGGGAUCGAGCAAAGAGGGGCUGAGGAGUUCAUCGCCGGAAAAUCCUAGGAAGUUCAGAGUCUUUGAAUCUUUGAGAUUUAGCUAAGGUGAGGACUUGAUUUGUGGCAAACUUGUUAGCAUAAUGUUUUUAGUAAAUUUGAUCUGAAAAUGCUAUGGUAUGGGAAUGAAUGUUGCGUUUACGAAAAGUUUUUAAAGGGUGAGGUCUUGGGUUUGAAACUCACAAACAACCUAAUUAUGGAGUCAGAGAGAACUCAUAAUAGAGGGGUUGGUGUCGGUGCCCUGCAAGGCUGUGAGCCGGAUUCCGAAUGAGCGGGAUGGAUUGUCACAAAAAAAAUCGACUUUUUAUGUGACGAUCUAUCCUGCGGACCCCAGAUUUCACAGUGCUGCAAUUGGUGACAACUUGUCUUGUGGAGAGUUUUUAAAGGGUGAGGUCUUGGGUUCGAGUAACGCCAACCGCAUCAAUAACCUACCGGUGGAUGUGGAGGCAGUUCCUCCCACGGUGAAGGGUUAGGGUCGUUGCGCUGCAGCGCUGUGAAAUCUGAAUUCCGCAGGACAUGUUGUCACGGUCUAAGACCAUCAUUAUCCCAGGUCCUUAAGUGGAGUUUUUAAGAAAAUCAGUGAUUUAUUUAAAUCAAAAGUAAUUAAAAUAGCAGUAGUCGAUCCUUAAUAGAAGACUUUGGAAACCGAUUUAGAGUGGAGUUUUUAAAACACGUGUCAGAAAAUUCUGAAAUUUCAAUUUUUUUAUCUCUCUUUUCUUCUGUUUCUCGUCGUCUCCUUCUCCUCUAGGCUUCUUCGUUGGACGAUACAAGCUCCCCUGAGUUAACAACAAAAGCACUCUUCUUUCGUUUCUUCAGCUACCAAAUCCUCUUUCUCUCCAGGACAUGACAAAGGAAUAAAAGUGGUUACGUUUUGUAUCAGUCACGUUUUGUAUGCUUCUGUGGGAGCAGCAACGUUUUGUAUCAUCGGCCUAGUGAAGAAGUGUCAUUGUCGUCACUCACGUUUUGUAUGCUAGUGUAUUAUCAGUAUACAAACUUUUGUAUCAUUGUCGUCAUAUUCUUCAUUCUCAAUCUUUUCAAUGUUUUUUUGUUUUUCUUGUUAUCUUUUCAAUGUUUUUUGUUUUGUUUUGUGUAUAUCAUGCUUAAUGAUCUAGUAUGUUUGACAGCUUGUAACACACCUUGGUGUUUAUCCGAGGUGAUGUUGUGUUCACAAGCAAACUCACUGACGAGGAGGCGAAAUGGAUCAUGGAGACGGCUCAGUCGUUUUACUUGAACGACACUCGGUACAAGCUGCUCGAGAAGUAAUAAAAACUGAAACGAUUCUUGUGUUCUUGAGACACGCUUGUAUUAGAAUUGUUUUUGUAUGGUAAUAAAAACUACAUCACCAAAUGGUUGAGAAUACUUCUCUUUUGUAUGAUUUAUAUAAUACAAACUAUGUGUAUACUGAUAAGAACUGAAGUGUAUAUUGAUGAAGAACCUCCCAAUAACACUUCUCUUCAUU
This is a long non-coding RNA of Brassica rapa (field mustard), 3033 nucleotides long. RefSeq lists it as uncharacterized. Lineage: Eukaryota; Viridiplantae; Streptophyta; Magnoliopsida; Brassicales; Brassicaceae. The record is from RefSeq and is a predicted model, not a curated record.